This is a long non-coding RNA of Ceratitis capitata (Mediterranean fruit fly), 388 nucleotides long. RefSeq lists it as uncharacterized. The transcript has 3 exons. Lineage: Eukaryota; Metazoa; Arthropoda; Insecta; Diptera; Tephritidae. The record is from RefSeq and is a predicted model, not a curated record.
UCGCAAUGCUAAGCGAAGCAUGUUUGUAUAUGUGUGCGUAUGUGCGUGUGUUUGUGUGUACGCAUGUGAGGCUCAAAUGCCUAAAUAGAAUUACGGAAAUUUAAGGAAAGAAUUGCACAAUUGGCGAAAAAUGGAAAUGCAUGUAUGUAAUGUGGCUACGAGUAUAAGGAGUUCGAGUUGAAUCGGGUUUGUUUACACAUACGCACACAGGCUAAUGCGCUCGUGAGUUGGUUUGAGUGCUCGAAAAUGGGCGGAAAAGUGGGUUGAUGAGGUUAUGCGAAAUGAAUGAGUGUCACGGUAAGAAUCUGAUCGAUGCUGUAGACAGCGCGUGGCCUUGAGACUGGGCCAUCCUGUACUGGACGCAAGCCCGGCGCGAUGAUGGGAUGAG